UGUGCCUUUCGUGAGGGAGCGGGAACGCCCUGAGGGGGUCAUCGUGUUCUGAGGGGACAUACCACCACUGAGAGGUCACUGUGCCUGAGGCGACAUGCCACCAGAGGGGUCACUGUGACUGAGGGGACAUCACACCCACGAGAGUGCACUGUGUCCUAAGGCGACAGCGCACUCCUGGGGGUUCACUGUGCCCAGAGCUACAAUCCCUCCUUAAAGGACAUUUUAGCCCGGAUGGGGCCGCAUAGUUUUCCAUCAGGAAGAGAUGAAAUCUCGUCAUCUGCUCCACCAUGUAGUUAUAAAAUAACCAGGUCUGUUGGUGGGCAUGAUGCAAAGGGAAGGCACGUGCCUGUGGUAACGGGGAGGCCCUGCAGUGACAGCUCCAUGACUCAGCCACCUCCUGUGCUGCAGCCUUACACCACAAGCACAAGACCCUCCUUCCAGGCAAUGCUUAGUGGAGAGCUCUCUGGUCCGACUGCUGGUUACUACUAAACUGUCCAGACCAGUGGAGAAAAUGCUUUGAUGUUAAUGAGCUGCAGACAAUUUCACUUAACACCAAGCAGAGCCUGGCAUCUCAGAGGUAAGACUUUCAAGGCAGGUCCUACAGCAAGUCUCUCCAACAUCCGUUUUGCCAUAAGAACAGAAAAUACUCAGAAAGACAUUUGAGCAGAAACCUGUCUUCUCACACAGUCUUGCACCACACCCAAUAUCAUUACAGCCACAGAGAUGCCAGAGGCAGGGAAGUAGUGAGAAUUAAAAACGGCCCGAUAGAAUCACAUGACCUCUGUGGGACUCAGUAGAAGCAUGAUUUACCCUCUUGCCCCAUUAAUUGCCUGCUUCUGUGGUCAUGCAGAAGGAAUACACAGCAAUGGGAAAAGGGGAUAGACUCUAAAUUGCUGAUUUUUCUGGUUCCUGUGUGGCUGGUCUUCAAGGCAACGCCAUUCUGAACGUGGCACCUUUUCCAUUGGCACAGCAGAUGUCUGAAUGAAAGGGGCCAGCUGCAGUAAAGUGAGAUGUGCACAAGCAGCCUUGGACUAUCCUCUUUCUUAAGUGGAUAUUCAGCAAAAACUUUCCUGUCAAUCUGGUCCAGGCAGCAGCACAUUGCCAAGUGCACACAAACCUCAGAGACAGGGUACAAAAGAGUCUGUGGAUGUGUUGUAGCUUCCUUGGCUUCAGUCAGCCCUUGUUGUGGGCCCUAGACCAGGAGGUUGGGUUUUCUCCCUAGAGUAAUACCUCAUGUACUGGAGAGGGUCCAGAUUAGGCAGAAUUCCUGCUGUGGAGAGAUAGUGUGGGAAACACAGAACGGUGAGAAAGAUAUCUGUCCAGUGGAAAUGUGAGGUAUCACAGUGUCAGGAAGGAAGCACUGAACCACAAGUUUGAACAAAGACAAGGGAGAAGAAAAGUACAAAUUCAAUUUUGUAACUCUCUGCCCAUUAUCGUAUCGCAUAAACUCUGUUUCUAUCCAGAAUCUGUAAACUUUUGAAUGUAGUGACCCAGUCCUCUGAGAAGUCCCAGCCAAGCAGAAGCAAACACAGACUAGGUCUGAGCAAGAAGAGUAACAAAUGAGACUUCACUGAAAGUUAAACAUUCUUCUUCUGAGGAAUGUGGCAUAAUUCCAAUAUAUUGCCUUUGUUAAAUGAUUUAUAGCAAUGAGAGAGAGAUACUAACUCUUCAGUUUUCUUGCCAGAACAGGAUUAUUCCCCGCAGAAAACUGGAUUACACAGUUAAAAUAAUGCAAGCCAAGUCCAAAUGCUUGUGCUAUGCCCACUGCAGGAAGGAGUUCACACAAAUGCAUGUGAGCCUACACUGAAAUAAAACCUAAUGAGGUAGAAAGUGACAUCAUGGAGGAGGCCAUGACUGAUCACAGGCCAAGGAGACUUUCCAACAAAAUGAACACUGCACUUUGGAAAGUCUACCCAAGUCAGUGGGAAGGGACACAAAAUUAACUUUCAACAAUAUAUUCAGCAUUUGCUGAGCACCAAAAGUCAUUCCAUCCAAACAAAAUCUGUGGGCCACAUUUUCACACGAGUGUACAACAACAACAACUGGACAUCCUGCAAGAGAUGAGACUGGCAGACAACAGGCAAUUGACAACAGCACAGAGCAACACAUACAAUGGUCCCCAGAUAGUGGUAAGGGAAACACUGUGACUUACACUGCUGGGCAGGAGCCCGAGAAGCACUAUUGAGUGUGUGUAGGAUGGAUGAAGAGAGAAGCAAUUUGAUCCCUUUUUCAAAGGGAUUUAUUGUCACAUGCAAUAGCAGCCUCACUAGAGAUGGACAGACUAUCAGCCUGAAAGCAGAGAGAUAUUCAUUAAGUUUAGGAUGGAUUUCAGGGUGCAAGAUAAUGUGUUGUUAGAAAUGAUAUUAAUAUAAAUAGAAAGCAAUAGAUUUGUAAGGUGGAUGGGAAUAAUCUGUGGUUUACAGCAGGGAGUUUAUCCCCAUUAAAGCUGGACAGUUGAAUAAAUGGACUAAAAAAGAUCACCUUUGUAAUAAAAGGAAGGGUGAUGCAGCGAGGUGAACACUAGGUCAGCUUGUAACUGUUUCUAGGGGCUGAGGAAACAUUCACCUGAAACCAGGGUAGAGCUGGAACUGCCAAGUUGUCCACAACACAUUUGACUUGAGACUGCAGCAUGACUCGAGACAGUUCUCAUGCUCUGAAUGCUUUGCUCCAGUGCCACUGUCCCUGGCACACAUAAAGUGUAUAUUCUCUGUGUGACACAGCCAUGUGAGGCAGCACUGUUGGUCAUACGUGUGCAUGAUACUUGAGCCAUUUUGCUGCCAAAGGAACAGGUAAGUGCUGGGUUCUGCUUUUUCCCCAGUUAAGGGAACAGGAUUAGCUAUUUUUCGUCUGUGUCAGUGCUGACCAUCAGGAAAUUCAUAGGAACUUAAUCAACUUCAGUCUGAUUCUAUGAAAUUUACAAGAAUGGUGGCAAAUCACAGCAUAGUUCCAAAGCUCUUAGCAGAGUGAUUAGCAGACAACAGCAUCUUUGUGUGUGUCAGCUCAUUAAGGAGCUUGGCCAAAACUAUAAAUGCUGUAGAAAUAGGAAACAACCAAACAUUAAUUCAACAAAGCAUGCCUGUAACUCCGAGGAAGCCUUGGUGCAUCCUAAGAGACAGACAAGUGGAACAAGCAGUUGCACCUUACAAGUUUUCCACACCAGCAACUUGACAGGUGCAGUGUCCCCAAAAUAAAGGGUGCAAAGUGAUCGAAAAUUUAAAGUUGGUCAUCAUAAAACCUCUCUCUCUCUCUCUCUCUCUCUAUAAAUAUAUACAUAUAUAUAUAUAUAUAUAUAUACACAC
Non-coding RNA from Cyanistes caeruleus (blue tit), 3299 nucleotides. Lineage: Eukaryota; Metazoa; Chordata; Aves; Passeriformes; Paridae. The record is from RefSeq and is a predicted model, not a curated record.